This 253-nucleotide ribosomal RNA is filed under the name uncultured bacterium. RNAcentral describes it as "partial 16S ribosomal RNA". It matches the Rfam family "Bacterial small subunit ribosomal RNA", at positions 524 to 776 of the family's 1533-position model. The record is from RNAcentral.
UACAGAGGUCUCAACCGUUGUUCGGAUUUAUUGGGCGUAAAGGGUGCGUAGGUGGUUGCGUAAGUCGGAUGUGAAAUAUUGAGGCUCAACCUCAAAACUGCAUUCGAUACUGCGCGGCUUGAGCGCUGGAAAGGAGACUGGAAUUUACGGUGUAGCAGUGAAAUGCGUAGAUAUCGUAAGGAAGACCAGUGGCGAAAGCGAGUCUCUGGACAGAUGCUGACACUGAGGCACGAAGGCUAGGGGAGCAAACGGG